UACUUUAAUACAUAUGAAAAGUUUCAAAAAGUAAUAUCAAAAAUUAAAAAUUGAAUCAGUUUAAUUUCUUUUACAUUUUUUUCUUAUUUUAUUUUAUUUUUAAUUCAAAUAAUUCAAUUUACGCUAUGAUCAGUUAGAAAUAUAAUAAUGCCAGCCGCAAGCUAUUAAAAUAAAAAAUGUCUGUUUACGCUAAUUGAUAAGACUAAAAUGUUAAGCCCCCACGGAUGUGAAAAAAUAUAUUUAUUUUUAAAAACAUUGGCCUAACAGUUAUAAUUGUGUUUGGCAAUAUUUAUUGGCUGAAUGGGCGUUUGUCGGUUUUUUAUUAUUAUUAUUAUAUCGUGCGUGCAUAGCAACGGCCACCUACUGAUUUAUGUAUUCUACACUUUUGUAACAGUAUUGUUACUACUGUUAAGAUUUGAAUGAUCAGAAAAUUUCAAUAUUCUAGUUCGAAUUUUAUUUAAUGUCCAUUGAAUAGAUAUUGAAACUCUGCAAGUCGAUACCAGAAACAAAUGCAUAAUAUACAGUUUUGUUAUUUUAUAUAUAGCGGAUGAACCCUCACAGCCUGUAUUGAGAUCGAGUACGAAAAUUAUCUUAUAAAAGAAAUAUUCUUUGUCUUCUGUAAGACAAACCAUCAACAACCAGACCAAUUUCAUGAAAAAGCUGAAUUAUUCAUCUCGCGCCGAAAAAAGGUCAAAGUGUUGUAUGGACGCGACUACAGCCACUACUGCCUAACCAAAAAUUUCUUUUCGGUAUCACAUUCCAAAAAUCAGGUGGCUGUGUCCGUGGUGGAACCAUCAACAACCAGACCAAUUUCAUGAAAAAGCUGAAUUAUUCAUCUCGCGCCGAAAAAUGGUCAAAGUGUUGUAUGGACGCGACUUCAGCCACUACUGCCUAACCAAAAAUUUCUUUUCGGUAUCACAUUCCAAAAAUCAGGUGGCUGUGUCCGUGGUGGAACGCUUGGCGGCUGUGGCCGCGGCUGGACGGUCGGCAGCCUUACAGCGUUGUUGCUGGCUGGGACGUCUGUGCACCGGUUGUAGGGCACUGGCCAGCGCUGGUCCCUGUGCUGCGCUUGUCGGCCGCGGUUGUGGCUUCGCCGUGGUCGCCUUCCGAACCGUCCGCUGUGUGUGGCGGACUGGCCCCGGUAUGGGCCGACGGUCCGUCGGUGCCGGUGAACUCGCCGGUGCAGCCUUUGCGUGCUCGCGCCACCCGCGCUCAUACGCCGCCCACAGACGAGGAUCGGCCUAUAUAUCGGAUAAUAUGGACUUUUGACUGUUUUGUUUUUGUUUAUAUGAUUCAGAACGUUUUGAAGGGGUUUGGAGAACUGGAAUCUAAUGUAAAACAAAUAAUGUUUAAAAUAAUUCUUAGUUAAAAAUAUUAAAUUUAAAAAUAAAUGUUACAGAUAUAAUAAUAUUGAUGA
Aphis gossypii (cotton aphid) is the source of this 1417-nucleotide long non-coding RNA. RefSeq lists it as uncharacterized. The record is from RefSeq and is a predicted model, not a curated record. NCBI's taxonomy places the organism in Eukaryota, Metazoa, Arthropoda, Insecta, Hemiptera, Aphididae. The transcript has 2 exons.